Molecule: long non-coding RNA, 1505 nt
Organism: Mus musculus (house mouse)
Lineage: Eukaryota; Metazoa; Chordata; Mammalia; Rodentia; Muridae
Product: predicted gene, 32144
Exons: 2
Source: RefSeq, a predicted model, not a curated record
CUGUAACUGUCACUCUGUAACUGCCACUCUGCAACGGCUUCCCACAUGGAUGGAGCCAUUGAGCAACUGGGCACCAAAAGCUAAGGGUGUCCUGAAGUUCACGGGCCUGGAGCAGCAGGCUGGGCCUUCCCUGAGACAGGAAUGAGGAUCAGGGCUUUGCGGACACCUCAGUGCGCUUUUCAAUGUGCUUUCCUGGGGCUACUGCACAGCCGGUGUCACAGCCGGUGACCUUCCUCCUCACUUGACUCUGGGGCUUGGUCCACAUCAUACCCAGCAGUCUUAAAACCUUCCACAGAAGGGGACAGCAAGGACCAGGUGUCCGAAGCCUUUCCCAUUGGCGCCUCUCCAGCUGCCUGCCCGUCUCCCAUUCUGAGGUCGCUCCACUGGCCCUCCAUGCUUCCCAGCUAGGGCCCUUUCUGCUCACACAGGGCCUGCCACAUUCCUGCUCCUGACAGCAGGCUCCUCCAGAUUAUGUCUGCAGAGGUUGAAGUCCAGACUUUCUAGGGAUGACUAUGCAGCCACUGAAUUGUUUUUUUAUAAGCCACCAACACAUUCAAAUGAGCACUGUGUUCUGAGAAGCCCCGAGGCCAGUUGGAAGAUGUACCAGUUCCCUUCAGUGGGCCCCCAGCUGACCUAUCGCACCGUUUUGGCUCCUCUGCUGUCAACCUUGACUUCCAGCCUAGACUUCCUCCUCUGAGAAGGCCAAGGUCCUAGGAACAGAGAUUAGGUGGCUUCUUGGUGAGUGCUAAGGUCCUCUGUGUGGGCCCUUCUGCCUGGGAUAGGAAGCAAGGCUGGCCAUCCUAACUCUGGACCUUUGUAUUGCCUGGUGCAGUGACCUCCUAGGGUGUGGUCCCAGCAAGCCAAUGGUCCCCAGGCUGAGGGAAGAUGUCAUGCACCUUCACAGGAGGUCCAGGCAUCAUCCAUGUAACCCCCACUCCUUCCCGGCCCUCUACCUCUCACCCUCUAUUUGUCCUCCACAGACUGGUCUAUGUGUCCUUUGCUGCAUCGGAAGGACGUGGUCUGCAAACCGUUCAAUGUUGGGCUUUGCCGAGGGGCUUUCUCUUAUCUCCCACUCUCCUUCCUCAGAACAGAAUUCAGCUGGUUUCAAUGUGGGGAUUAACGUAACCCAAGUGAGCAAUCUACUCUUCUGCAUGGAGAAUACUCUCAGGUGCGUUGUUUAGACGUGUUGUCUCCAGAUAGAGCUGUUCCACCCAGAUGGGAGCAAGGAUCGCCACACAAGGGAAAAUACAGACCUCCCAGUCGCCCCCUGUGGGUGGAGCUAUAGACUCAGUAAACACUGGCCUGGCAGAGGAGACUUCUCGGUGGAGCUGCCUCCAGGUUGUGCUGGAGACUUGGGAGUACAGCCUUUCUGAGUGCUCACCUAUGCCAACGGGACGGCAGGGGCUUUAUGGUUAUGCAGCGGUUCAUGUUAUGUAGCGGCCUGUGAGUAGCCUCCCAUCCAUGCUCCUGUCGCUGACCCCAAUAAAUUCGUCGGUUCAGCUCGA